Zingiber officinale is the source of this 1026-nucleotide long non-coding RNA. RefSeq lists it as uncharacterized. Lineage: Eukaryota; Viridiplantae; Streptophyta; Magnoliopsida; Zingiberales; Zingiberaceae. The record is from RefSeq and is a predicted model, not a curated record. The transcript has 3 exons.
AUCCCUAUUCACAAUUUCUCAUGAUUUCUCUGCCUCGAACCCUAAUCCCGACCUACCUGCAUGCGAAACUCCUCCUUGCCUGCUCGGAGUCCCCCUUUCGACUAGGUCACCACUAUUCGCUGUGUCGAUGGAAUCUUCUCUGUCAGUUUUUCCUCACCCCGUGUCUCAGUCAUCAUCCAACUAGGUAAGUGUCUCAUCAGCAACCGACGGUUCAUCUCCUGUCCCCCUCUGGUGAUCUUCCCUUGUCUUAGGCAAGUAUCAUUGUGUUCACCGACAGCUUUUCUCUAGUGAUUGGACUUCAUCUUCUUUGGAGCUUAGGAACAUAGGGAGUCGAGCGAAAGACAUAGCUAGCGAGAAGGAUGGCACGGGAGAAUGCGUAUGAGGGAUGAGGCACUAUGGAAGAGUACACCAGCGGACGAGAAGGAAGGGUACGGUGUUUCUGAGGGACGAGAAGACGGAGCGGAAAUUUGCUCAGGGAGCAAGAGACACAGCUAACGAGAAGGCCGGCACAUAGUGCGACCAAGGGACGAAGAGUUGCGGAUGAGUAUGCUAGCGGAUGAGAAGGAAGCACACGAUGAUUUCGAGGUACGAGAAGUCAGAGCAAAAGCCUGCUCGAGAAGGUCGAAAUUGGGUUUGGGUGAGCCUUAUUUCGGUUGGCCGAAAUCACCCAAGCGAGCGAAGCCAGAGCGGAAGACCCGGACUGAGGUGAGCAACACCGGAGCAGAGGGAUUGGACCAAAAGUCAACCCUAUUGACUUUAGUGGUUCCGGGCGCCUGAACCGUCCGGGCGCCCGAACCGUCCGGGCGCCCGGAGCCAUUACGGGCGCCCAGAGUUGAGCAUUGACCAGGAUCGUGUUAAACAUGAUUCGUUGUGAAGGGGAUAAAAGUUUAUCUCCUCCAAGGUACCUGGAACCCUUUCAAGCGCCCCGACCAAGGCUAUAAAUACAGCCUUGGUCCAGAAGCUAGAGAAUAGACAAGCAAUUAGCAUUUCCAACACUUGUGCACUUCAUUUGUAGUUUAGCUUCUU